Molecule: long non-coding RNA, 197 nt
Organism: Gossypium raimondii (Peruvian cotton)
Lineage: Eukaryota; Viridiplantae; Streptophyta; Magnoliopsida; Malvales; Malvaceae
Exons: 3
Source: RefSeq, a predicted model, not a curated record
CUCUAAUUGCUCACUUCCUCUGUUAUGUGGUCAUUGGUUUGUGGCCCAACACCAUGUAUGAUAUGUGGUUCAGGAGAAAUUGAAGGAGCCUUAUUGAAAUACUUGGGGGUUGAGCGCAAUGAGGUAACAAAGGACGGUUUGUUCUCUGUUGGAGAAAUGGAAUGUAUGGGAUGUUGUGUAAAUGCUCCUAUGAUUGC